GUUUGUUAGAAUUUUGUCAUGAGUGUCCGAAAAUAUAUUUUGAUCCAUUUUGUCACGAGCAUCAUGAGUUUAACCUUUUAAAAUAAAUCUUGUAGACAAAAAGCAUUUUUUAUGGUAUGAGUUCAUUGAAAAAAAUUAAAUUUUAGCCCUCUCUAACAAAUCUUUCUGGCUCCGUCCUUGGUGAGAUGUAUCAUAUUAACUUUUUAACUGUGCAAUCUCAUAUUAAAUCCUAGUUUGAACUCCAUUUUUUUUUUCCAAAAAUGUAUUAUUUCAAAAUUCGUUUUCAACCACAUAUUUUUCCAUAAACUAAUAUUGUUACACGUAAAUUCAAAACCUUUCUUUAUUUUUAAUCACAUAUUUUUCAAAAAAAUCAUUAUUCUAAAACACAUUUUUCCUCGAAAUCUCAUUUUAAUAAAGUUUGAAUAAGGGCAAAAUUUUUAUCAUUUCAUGUUUUACAAGUUAAAGAAAAUCACGUUUAAGUGAAUUUCAUGGUGUCGUCUUAGCCCAAAACACAUUACACGUGAGGUAUCAUGUGUGAUGUAUCACUUCUUUCUUUGUGUUUGUUCUUUGGAUAUAAUUAUUGAUUGUAUCAUCGUGUCAUGUUUCUUGCUCAUACAUGUGUUUCCCUUCUCUAUUUUGCUGGACCAUGUCAAUUGGAGUGUAAUAUACUUCCAAUCUGGGAGUUGAAAUUUUAAUUGCUCAUAAAGUUGUUCAGUACCUUGUACUUAUUAUCUG
This 735-nucleotide long non-coding RNA is filed under the name Olea europaea subsp. europaea. The record is from RNAcentral. Lineage: Eukaryota; Viridiplantae; Streptophyta; Magnoliopsida; Lamiales; Oleaceae.